UAGGGAAUCUUCGGCAAUGGACGAAAGUCUGACCGAGCAACGCCGCGUGAGUGAAGAAGGUUUUCGGAUCGUAAAACUCUGUUGUUAGAGAAGAACAAGGACGUUAGUAACUGAACGUCCCCUGACGGUAUCUAACCAGAAAGCCACGGCUAACUACGUGCCAGCAGCCGCGGUAAUACGUAGGUGGCAAGCGUUUUCCGGAUUUAUUGGUCGUAAUGCGAGCGCAGGCGGUUUCUUAAGUCUGAUGUGAAAGCCCCCGGCUCAACCGGGGAGGGUCAUUGGAAACUGAGGGACUUGAGUGCAGAAGAGGGGAGUGGAAUUCCAUGUGUAGCGGUGAAAUGCGUAGAUAUAUGGAGGAACACCAGUGGCGAAGGCGGCUCUCUGGUCUGUAACUGACGAUGAGGCUCGAAAGCGUGGGGAGCAAACAGG
RNAcentral lists this ribosomal RNA (429 nucleotides) under Gemmatimonadota bacterium. Its description in RNAcentral is "Gemmatimonadetes bacterium partial 16S ribosomal RNA". It matches the Rfam family "Bacterial small subunit ribosomal RNA", at positions 355 to 776 of the family's 1533-position model. Lineage: Bacteria; Pseudomonadati; Gemmatimonadota. The record is from RNAcentral.